RNAcentral lists this ribosomal RNA (253 nucleotides) under uncultured bacterium. RNAcentral describes it as "partial 16S ribosomal RNA". It matches the Rfam family "Bacterial small subunit ribosomal RNA", at positions 524 to 776 of the family's 1533-position model. The record is from RNAcentral.
UACAGAGGUGGCAAGCGUUGUUCGGAAUUACUGGGCGUAAAGGGCGCGUAGGCGGUCCGAUAAGUCCCGUGUGAAAUCCCUCGGCUCAACUGAGGAAUGGCACGGGAAACUGCCGGGCUUGAGUUCGGGAGAGGGAAGCGGAAUUCCGGGUGCAGCGGUGAAAUGCGUAGAUAUCCGGAGGAACACCGGUGGCGAAGGCGGCUUCCUGGACCGACACUGACGCUGAGGCGCGAAAGCUAGGGGAGCAAACGGG